This 253-nucleotide ribosomal RNA is filed under the name uncultured bacterium. Its description in RNAcentral is "partial 16S ribosomal RNA". It matches the Rfam family "Bacterial small subunit ribosomal RNA", at positions 524 to 776 of the family's 1533-position model. The record is from RNAcentral.
UACAGAGGUCCCAAGCGUUGUUCGGAUUCACUGGGCGUAAAGGGUGCGUAGGUGGCUUGGAAAGUUUGAUGUGAAAGCUCAGGGCUCAACCCUGAAAUGGCAUUGAAUACUAUCGAGCUGGAGGUUUGGAGGGGGGACUGGAAUUCUUGGUGUAGCAGUGAAAUGCGUAGAUAUUAAGAGGAACACCAGUGGCGAAGGCGAGUCCCUGGACAACACCUGACACUGAGGCACGAAAGCCGGGGGAGCAAACAGG